CAUUUGGGCACCUCCAGGUACCUGACACAGGUACACGUGUCAGAGGCUGGGGAACCUGGGACCACACCCAUCCCUGUUCAUGGGGCCUGCAAGCAGCUGCAGUCAGGCUUGCUCCCUGUGAGGGCCCAGACUCUGCCCACAGGUCCUGAUCCACCCCCAGUCCCUCCAAGUACGGCCCCCCCCUGUGCUUCCAGAGGACAGGGAAGUCCCCUCGGAGUCAGAAUGGAGGGAGCAGGGCCAGGAUGGGGCCACCUUGGGGGAGGGUCCUGGCUUUAUGUGUUGUCCCCUGGACCCCCACCUGGUUGGCAUCAGCCCCACCAGCCCUCCCGGUUCUCUUGUUAUCUGUGUUGAGUUCCUAGAGCUCGAGUCUAGACUCUAAGCACCUGUAAAUCUGGCACGUGUGAAAGUCAGCAAGCUGUGUGCUAUUGAGACUGUCAUCAGAGGAAGGUAAUUUGUUUAUAGAUUUCUGUGCUGGCACAGGGGCCUUGGAUCCUGCGUCAGGCUCCCCAACAACGCUGUGAGCCCAGCCCUGGGGCAGAAGAGCAGCUCCCCCACGUUGGAAAAGCUGUGUCAACUCACGGGGACAGAACAGCGUCUUCUGCUCCCUUCAGGACCCACAGCACAUGGAGCGGUGCCUGCAACAUAGUGCGCCUCCCACCAGCAUCUGUGAGGAAGACAGAAUUAAAAGCCAGACUGGUUACAAAGCUCCCGCUAUGGACUCUGUCAGGGAUUUGGGAGCUACUUUCCUUCUCUGCACUUCAGCACCCCAGUGACAUAGUGCUGAAGAUGACCUAGAGUAAGAGAGAGAUAGAAACAUUGAUGAGAGAGAAACAUCAUCGAUCGGCUCCCUCCUGCAUGCUCCCUACUGGGGGGAAUGGAUCCCUCAACUCAAGCAUGUACCCUGACUGGGAAUCAGACCGUA
Miniopterus natalensis is the source of this 922-nucleotide non-coding RNA. The record is from RefSeq and is a predicted model, not a curated record. NCBI's taxonomy places the organism in Eukaryota, Metazoa, Chordata, Mammalia, Chiroptera, Miniopteridae.